This 1284-nucleotide small RNA is filed under the name Rattus norvegicus (Norway rat). RNAcentral's name for it is "uncharacterized LOC108349236". The record is from RNAcentral. Lineage: Eukaryota; Metazoa; Chordata; Mammalia; Rodentia; Muridae.
CGGGGAGCUAGCGACUCGCUGGGCUUCAGGUGAUGCGCUUCUGGAGGCUGCUGGCGGAGAGCUGUUUUUGAUUGUGGGUUUCCCUGAUGCCCUUCCUUCCUCUGUGAUAUAAGAAACAACUGGGAAGGUAGGUGUGCCCUUUUCAACAAAGACGCUGGCAAUAAGAGAAAAUCAUUGAACAGAAACAACGCGUGCAAAACAGACAGGCAGAACCUCGUCCAGACCUUCGCCAAAAAUUCUUGCUGAAUCCAUUCAAUGCAAAGGAAGUCACAGAGGCACACAUCAACAUAAUGUAGAAAUUCCUUACAGACUGAGAGAGUGACAUGUGAUACGUUUAAGUUUUGAAUGGGAUGUGAUUUUCCAAUGGCACCUGGAAAACAGAAAUGAUCCUAAGAGAAUAUCUACUGAGGGAUGGAUGUCCCACUGAAAAAAGGAAUACAAAUUGAUCAUGUCAUGAGAAAUAUUUUACGAUCUUCUUUGAUACAGACAAUUGCAGGAAGACUUUGCCAAUGUGUGAAUCUCAUCAGUAGAGACCUGGGAAACAUCACCGGCAUGCGCUCCUCCUCAGAAACACCGCGCAUGUGCGUAUUUGGUGAGAAUGGUAGAAUAGGGUAGCUAGGCACCCUGGGAAGGUUAUUAUCAUUUAUGAAUGGGAUGGCCUUUGAUUUCAAGAAAUGAAAUAGAAAUUACAAAUGGUAAUGGAUUUUUAUAGCCUUUUAAUAAGAUGCUUUUACAAGACUGGUAAUUGUGCUUCUCUAUUUGCUUUCAACGGCCACCCUUUGAGAUCGAAUUCAAAUGACCUCUUGGCUGAUUGGGCAGAAGAUUCGUCAGUUAUGUUCCCUCUGACAGUCGAGAACAACUGUUCCAUUGACAAUGGGCUUGGUUGGACCACCCACAUCAGCACAGAGGAUGCGAUGUCACUCAACUUCUGCCUCCUUCACUGAGACAUUCUCCAUUGAAGCCUGAGUCACUGUGCAAAAGCUUGACUUCCCAGGGGUUACAAAGAUAUAAGGAAGACCUUGUCACAUGACGAAGACAGGACCAGGCACUGCAAUUGAUGGUCUUAGCUAUUCGUGGAGUUUGGAAUAUUCUAGCCCAGGAAUCAAGCAUGUGAGUGGAAAAAAAUGUAGUAAUAGAUUUGAAGGGAAACUGAGCAAGUAUCAGUGAACAGUAUAUUGGUAAUUAGUGAAGCUGAGUGAUCUUGAUAUUUCAAUCUGCCUGUGUGUCUUUCUGUCUGGGGAUCUUUCUGUUUGCCUCCGUCUUUCUGUCUCUUUUCUUGUCUCC